Long non-coding RNA from Anthonomus grandis grandis, 381 nucleotides. RefSeq lists it as uncharacterized. The transcript is spliced from 3 exons. The record is from RefSeq and is a predicted model, not a curated record. Lineage: Eukaryota; Metazoa; Arthropoda; Insecta; Coleoptera; Curculionidae.
CACAUGAUUGUAAAUUUUUUUACUUAUGUAAAUUAAUGAUUUUUGGUAAGGGAAGACGUAGGAAUAGGUAGGGGAACAUCAUUUACACGACGAGUCAAAUGGCCAGUGUCAGAGGGUAGUUUGGGAAUUUUGUGAAUAAGAGCAGCUGUUUCUAAGAUAAAGAGUGAAAAAAGAGUUAGGAUUUUUUCAGAAAUGAAAAGGGGUUUGCAAGAAUCUCUUAACUUAGCAGAACACAGAUUCCAUGUGGAUUCUCCUUAGCCCAUAAGUGAUUGUUAUGGAAGUUUCGUAUGCAAUGUCUUCCAAAAGUAGCCUCGUCAGUAAACAAAAUACCAUUUAAAAAAUUAGGAAUUUGCGCGAUUUGAUGAAGAAUCCAUUGGCAAA